AGUCUUGUAUUGGAUGAUGGGAAUUUAAACCUCUUCCAGAGUAUCAAUUGGAGGGCAAGUCUGGUGCCAGCAGCCGCGGUAAUUCCAGCUCCAAUAGCGUAUAUUAAACUUGUUGCAGUUAAAAAGCUCGUAGUUGAAUUUCUGCUGUAUCGUUUUCCUCUGCUUGACAGUUGGAUUUCGUUAUGGCUUAGUUGGGUUACAGUUUCUGUUACCUGACGUUUACUUUGAGAAAAUUAGAGUGCUUCAAGCAGGCUUUUGCCUUGAAUACUUUAGCAUGGAAUAAUAGAGUAGGACUUUGGUUCUAUUUUGUUGGUUUUAGGAGCCAGAGUAAUGGUUAAUAGGAACAGUUGGGGGCAUUCGUAUUUGACUGUCAGAGGUGAAAUUCUUAGA
RNAcentral lists this ribosomal RNA (390 nucleotides) under Theileria equi. Its description in RNAcentral is "SSU rRNA". It matches the Rfam family "Eukaryotic small subunit ribosomal RNA", at positions 501 to 924 of the family's 1831-position model. Lineage: Eukaryota; Apicomplexa; Aconoidasida; Piroplasmida; Theileriidae. The record is from RNAcentral.